This 773-nucleotide ribosomal RNA is filed under the name uncultured Neocallimastigales. Its description in RNAcentral is "partial large subunit ribosomal RNA". It matches the Rfam family "Eukaryotic large subunit ribosomal RNA", at positions 26 to 646 of the family's 3401-position model. Lineage: Eukaryota; Fungi; Neocallimastigomycota; Neocallimastigomycetes; Neocallimastigales. The record is from RNAcentral.
CGCAUCUGUGCAUGCAGCAUAUCAAUAAGCGGAGGAAAAGAAACUAACAAGGAUUCCCUUAGUAACGGCGAGUGAAGCGGGAAGAGCUCAAAUUUGAAAUCUUCAAGGUUUUACCUUGACGAAUUGUAGUUUAAAGAAGUGUUUUCUGUUGAAGUUUUGGUAAAAGUUCUUUGGAAUAGGACAUCAUAGAGGGUGAGAAUCCCGUAUUUGACCAUUAUUUUCAGCUGUGUGAUACACUUUCAAAGAGUCGGAUUGUUUGGGAAUGCAGUCCAAAAUGGGUGGUAAAUUUCAUCUAAAGCUAAAUAUUGGCGAGAGACCGAUAGCGAACAAGUACCGUGAGGGAAAGAUGAAAAGAACUUUGAAAAGAGAGUUAAACAGGUACGUGAAAUUGUCAAAGGGAAGCGUUUGACACCAGUGUUGUUUUCUCGAAAAUCAAUUAAAAAGAGUUAGAUUUUGUUGUGUAUUGACCUUAACAGCUUGCAUUUCAAUUUCUUGCUUUUUUUAAUGCACUUUUCGUUUAACAAGUCAACAUCAGUUUCUUUUGUUGUAAAAAGGUCAUUGGAAGGUGGCUUUCUUUUCGGAGAAAGUGUUUAUAGCCUUUGACUCCUGCAAUCGGAGAGACUGAGGUCUGCAGCGUAGAUCCUUCGGGGUUAGAUACAUUUGUGCUAAGUUAUAGCUUUCUAUAGACAACUUGUUGACUAUGAUUAGUCUUGUAGCUUACUCGCUUAUGCUAUUUUACCUACGCUUAGGAUGUUGACACACGCGCGUGCUCG